RNAcentral lists this ribosomal RNA (253 nucleotides) under uncultured bacterium. Its description in RNAcentral is "partial 16S ribosomal RNA". It matches the Rfam family "Bacterial small subunit ribosomal RNA", at positions 524 to 776 of the family's 1533-position model. The record is from RNAcentral.
UACAGAGGUCUCAAGCGUUGUUCGGAUUCAUUGGGCGUAAAGGGUGCGUAGGUGGCGCCGUAAGUGGGGUGUGAAAUCUCGGGGCUUAACUCCGAAACUGCAUUCCAUACUGCGGUGCUUGAGGACUGGAGAGGAGACUGGAAUUCAUGGUGUAACAGUGAAAUGCGUAGAGAUCAUGAGGAAGACCAGUGGCGAAGGCGGGUCUCUGGACAGUUCCUGACACUGAGGCACGAAGGCCAGGGGAGCAAACGGG